RNAcentral lists this ribosomal RNA (492 nucleotides) under uncultured bacterium. Its description in RNAcentral is "partial 16S ribosomal RNA". It matches the Rfam family "Bacterial small subunit ribosomal RNA", at positions 29 to 507 of the family's 1533-position model. The record is from RNAcentral.
AGUGAACGCUGGCGGUAGGCCUAACACAUGCAAGUCGAACGGCAGCACAGUAAGAGCUUGCUCUUAUGGGUGGCGAGUGGCGGACGGGUGAGGAAUACAUCGGAAUCUACUUUUUCGUGGGGGAUAGCGUAGGGAAACUUACGCUAAUACCGCAUACGACCUACGGGUGAAAGCAGGGGAUCUUCGGACCUUGCGCGAUUGAAUGAGCCGAUGUCGGAUUAGCUAGUUGGCGGGGUAAAGGCCCACCAAGGCGACGAUCCGUAGCUGGUCUGAGAGGAUGAUCAGCCACACUGGAACUGAGACACGGUCCAGACUCCUACGGGAGGCAGCAGUGGGGAAUAUUGGACAAUGGGCGCAAGCCUGAUCCAGCCAUACCGCGUGGGUGAAGAAGGCCUUCGGGUUGUAAAGCCCUUUUGUUGGGAAAGAAAAGCAGCAGGUUAAUACCCCGCUGUUCUGACGGUACCCAAAGAAUAAGCACCGGCUAACUUCGUG